Long non-coding RNA from Oryzias melastigma (Indian medaka), 610 nucleotides. RefSeq lists it as uncharacterized. NCBI's taxonomy places the organism in Eukaryota, Metazoa, Chordata, Actinopteri, Beloniformes, Adrianichthyidae. The transcript is spliced from 2 exons. The record is from RefSeq and is a predicted model, not a curated record.
GAAUUGCUUAAAAAUCCCUAAUACAUGCCAAUUUAAAUAGUGUGUUGUUCAAUUAUUGUCAGGACCUGCCACUCCUGACUCAGUUCUGACUGUCACUAAUCACCUGAUUGCCUUCACCUGCGCUCUCCCCUUUAUAUUGCUCUGCUCUCCACCUGCCCUCUGCCAGAACGUUGUCAGUUCUCUGCUCUGCUCUGCUCUGCUCUGCUCUGCUCUGCUCUGCUCUGCUCUGCUCUGCUCUGCUCUGCUCUGCUCAACCUUCAAGUUUGCCUGCCUACCAAGCUCUGCCCAGCUCAGCUCUGCUCAACCUUCAAAUUUGCCUGCCUGCCCUGCUCUGCUCAGCUCAGUUCUGCUCAACCUUCAAAUUUGCCUGCCUGCCCUGCUCUGCUCAGCUCCGUUCUGCUCAACCUUCAAAUUGGCCUGUCAGCCCAGCUCUGCCUCCAAACCAGCCAGGCCUGCCCUGCCCCGUCCAAACUGUCUGCUUUGCCUGGAUCCUGCUGCCCUGCGUUAUCUGCCCAGCCUGAGAUAUCCGCUCCGUGCUGCCUUUCCCCAUGUGAAGACUAAAGACCUGUUCCUGUUCCGCCAUCCUGACAAUAAACCUGUUAUCUCUACA